UCAUUUCUUACAUGCUACCUCUCAUUGUUAGAAUAUUGAGACAUACAUAAAGGAAAAACAAAACACCAGCAUGCUUUUGUCAUCCUAGUAACCAAAACUGACCAGAAUGUCCGAGUUAUUCAGGUAUACUAGUAGAAAUAGUUGUAAACAAUGAUGUUCUAUGCUUUUGUCAUUACACAAUGGUUUGCAUCUGUUGUCAUCUUUCCAUUGGAUUUGGUUGCAUUUUCA
RNAcentral lists this long non-coding RNA (228 nucleotides) under Gossypium raimondii (Peruvian cotton). RNAcentral's name for it is "long non-coding RNA (GRAI_LNC004661)". Lineage: Eukaryota; Viridiplantae; Streptophyta; Magnoliopsida; Malvales; Malvaceae. The record is from RNAcentral.